This 450-nucleotide ribosomal RNA is filed under the name uncultured bacterium. RNAcentral's name for it is "partial 16S ribosomal RNA". It matches the Rfam family "Bacterial small subunit ribosomal RNA", at positions 354 to 796 of the family's 1533-position model. The record is from RNAcentral.
GUGGGGAAUAUUGGACAAUGGGCGAAAGCCUGAUCCAGCCAUGCCGCGUGUGUGAAGAAGGUCUUCGGAUUGUAAAGCACUUUAAGUUGGGAGGAAGGGUAGUAACCUAAUACGUUGCUACUUUGACGUUACCGACAGAAUAAGCACCGGCUAACUUCGUGCCAGCAGCCGCGGUAAUACGAAGGGUGCAAGCGUUAAUCGGAAUUACUGGGCGUAAAGCGCGCGUAGGUGGUUCAGUAAGUUGGAAGUGAAAUCCCCGGGCUCAACCUGGGAACUGCUUUCAAAACUGCUGAGCUAGAGUACGGUAGAGGGUGGUGGAAUUUCCUGUGUAGCGGUGAAAUGCGUAGAUAUCCGAAAGAACACCAGUGGCGAAGGCGACGAUCUGGGCCUGAACUGACGCUGAGGAGCGAAAGCUAGGGGAGCAAACGGGAUUAGAUACCCCAGUAGUCC